GUAUUCUUGCCUGGAGAAUCCCAUGGACAGAGGAGCCUGGAAGUCUACAUUCCACGGGGUUGCAAAGAGUUGGACACGACUGAAAUGACUUAGCAGCAGCCCAAAUGGACGGAAACAACAGCUUUACCAGGAUCACAGGGAGCUCGCCAAAGGAAGGAGGCAUGCUCACCCUCAAUGCAGUGGGGCCACUGCUGGAGGUCACACGGUACUGCCCAGUAAUCAUGUAUGGAUGUGAGAGUUGGACUAUAAAGAAAGCUGAGCACUGAAGAAUUGAUGCUUUUGAACUCUGAUGUUGGAGAAGACUCUUGAGAGUCCCUAAAGGACUCUCAAGUACAUCCUAAAGGAAAUCAGUCCUGAAUGUUCACUGGAAAGACUGAUGCUGAAGCUGAAUACUUUGGCCACCUGAUGCAAGAACUGACUCAUUGGAAAAGACCAUGAUGCUGGGAAAGAUUGAAGGCAGGAAGAGAAGGAGAUGACAGAGGAUGAGAUGGUUGGAUGGCAUCACCAACUCGAUGGACAUGAGUUUGAGCAAGCUUCGGGAGUUGAUGAUGGACAGACAUCUCACCUGUGACCUGUAACCUAUGACUUCUGACCAUCGAACUGUGAUCCUUGAAACUGCAAGUGAAAGUGCAAGUCGCUCAGUUGUGUCCGACUCUUUGUGACCCCAUGGAAGAGGAAAAGACCCCAUGCUGCUGCCAAGUCACUUCAGUUGUGUCCGACUCUGUGCGACCCCAUAGACGGCAGCCCACCGGGCUCCCCCAUCCCUGGGAUUCUCCAAGCAAGAACACUGGAGUGGGUUGCCAUUUCCUUCUCCAAUGCAUGAAAGUGAAAAGUGAAGCACAGAUCUCAAUAAAGGCAGAUAGAGGCCGGAUUACAGAACCCUUAGAGUGAGCAUGGGGCCCUUAGAAAUGCUAAAUCAGUGGCUGGACACCAGAAUGUUGAAGGGUCAAAAUCUGAAGCCCAUCUUUAAGGGUGCCAGGUGUACAUGGCCUCCACAGAUUCUUACAACGGUACAUGUGGGGCGUAAAACAAAUACAACACUGGAAAUCAAUUCUAUCCCAAUGUAAGAUAAAAAUCAAGUUGAAAGGCAGAAAAAGGGGGAAUGAAGAAACGCUGCUGCUUGUGGCUCUUUCCCCUAAGAACAAUUUUAAAACCUGAGUUGAUGGGCACUUCGUACUCAUAAGGCCUGUGGGACUGUAAAAGACACCUGUCCUCAAGAGAUGUCCUAGGGUAAACCAUCGGGGAAAAUUCAAAACAGAGCUGACUUUUAAGAAGCUGGCUUCAAGAAGUAAAUUGUACUCACACUGUAUAAGAUUUUUUUAAAAAACACACGGAAAGACACUCCACUAACUAUUAAAUCAAUGCAAAUCAAAACUACAAUGAGUUAUCCCUUCAGACAGGUUAAAUUGGCCAUCAUCGCAAAGAUCUACAAAGAAUAAAUUCUGCAGACAGCAUAAAGAAAAGGGAAUCUUCCUGUACUUCUGGUGGGGUUGUAAAUGGGUCUAGCCACUAUGGAAAACAGUAGGCAGGUUCCCUAAUAAACUAACAUAGAGGUAUCAUGAUCAGCAAUCCCACUCCUGGGCUUAGAUCUGGAGAAAAUCGUAAUUCAAAAUGACACAUGCAUCCCUCUUUUCAGGGAAGUAUCAUUUAUAAGAGCCAAGACAUAGAAUCAACCAAAAAUGAAAGUGAAAGUCUCUCAGUCAGUCAUGUCUGACUCUGUGACCCCAUGGACUAUACAGUCCAUGGAAUUCUCCACGCCAGAAUACUGGAGUGAAUAGCCAUUCCCUUCUCCAGGGGAUCUUCCCAACCCAGGAUUGAACCCAGGUCUCCCAUGUUGCA
This is a long non-coding RNA of Bos taurus (domestic cattle), 1839 nucleotides long. Lineage: Eukaryota; Metazoa; Chordata; Mammalia; Artiodactyla; Bovidae. The record is from Ensembl.